Molecule: transfer RNA, 73 nt
Filed under: Chloroflexota bacterium
Lineage: Bacteria; Bacillati; Chloroflexota
Description: Chloroflexi bacterium tRNA-Gly
Source: RNAcentral
GGGGUGAGGUCUGGUGACCACCGGUGACUGCCAAUUUCUCGGUAGAUGGGUUCGACCCCCAUUCACCCCGCCA